This 1371-nucleotide ribosomal RNA is filed under the name uncultured bacterium. Its description in RNAcentral is "bacterial SSU rRNA". It matches the Rfam family "Bacterial small subunit ribosomal RNA", at positions 28 to 1381 of the family's 1533-position model. The record is from RNAcentral.
GAUGAACGCUGGCGGCGUGCCUAAUACAUGCAAGUCGAGCGAACGGACGAGAAGCUUGCUUCUCUGAUGUUAGCGGCGGACGGGUGAGUAACACGUGGAUAACCUACCUAUAAGACUGGGAUAACUUCGGGAAACCGGAGCUAAUACCGGAUAAUAUUUUGAACCGCAUGGUUCAAAAGUGAAAGACGGUCUUGCUGUCACUUAUAGAUGGAUCCGCGCUGCAUUAGCUAGUUGGUAAGGUAACGGCUUACCAAGGCAACGAUGCAUAGCCGACCUGAGAGGGUGAUCGGCCACACUGGAACUGAGACACGGUCCAGACUCCUACGGGAGGCAGCAGUAGGGAAUCUUCCGCAAUGGGCGAAAGCCUGACGGAGCAACGCCGCGUGAGUGAUGAAGGUCUUCGGAUCGUAAAACUCUGUUAUUAGGGAAGAACAUAUGUGUAAGUAACUGUGCACAUCUUGACGGUACCUAAUCAGAAAGCCACGGCUAACUACGUGCCAGCAGCCGCGGUAAUACGUAGGUGGCAAGCGUUAUCCGGAAUUAUUGGGCGUAAAGCGCGCGUAGGCGGUUUUUUAGUCUGAUGUGAAAGCCCACGGCUCAUCCGUGGAGGGUCAUUGGAAACUGGAAAACUUGAGUGCAGAAGAGGAAAGUGGAAUUCCAUGUGUAGCGGUGAAAUGCGCAGAGAUAUGGAGGAACACCAGUGGCGAAGGCGACUUUCUGGUCUGUAACUGACGCUGAUGUGCGAAAGCGUGGGGAUCAAACAGGAUUAGAUACCCUGGUAGUCCACGCCGUAAACGAUGAGUGCUAAGUGUUAGGGGGUUUCCGCCCCUUAGUGCUGCAGCUAACGCAUUAAGCACUCCGCCUGGGGAGUACGACCGCAAGGUUGAAACUCAAAGGAAUUGACGGGGACCCGCACAAGCGGUGGAGCAUGUGGUUUAAUUCGAAGCAACGCGAAGAACCUUACCAAAUCUUGACAUCCUUUGACAACUCUAGAGAUAGAGCUUUCCCCUUCGGGGGACAAAGUGACAGGUGGUGCAUGGUUGUCGUCAGCUCGUGUCGUGAGAUGUUGGGUUAAGUCCCGCAACGAGCGCAACCCUUAAGCUUAGUUGCCAUCAUUAAGUUGGGCACUCUAAGUUGACUGCCGGUGACAAACCGGAGGAAGGUGGGGAUGACGUCAAAUCAUCAUGCCCCUUAUGAUUUGGGCUACACACGUGCUACAAUGGACAAUACAAAGGGCAGCGAAACCGUGAGGUCAAGCAAAUCCCAUAAAGUUGUUCUCAGUUCGGAUUGUAGUCUGCAACUCGACUACAUGAAGCUGGAAUCGCUAGUAAUCGUAGAUCAGCAUGCUACGGUGAAUACGUUCCCGGGUCU